AUAACAGAAAGCUGUGUUUGGCAAAAGUAGCAAGGGUAAACUUUAACUGCUAAUUUUAGUGUGUGCAGUUUGUAACCAUGACCAUCAGCUGGUAUAUUUCAGUUAUAACUCAGUUGCCAGCCAAGCUUACUCUUACAAAUCAACUACCAGUUCUCAAUACCAGCUGACUGACUAUAAUAUCCUAGGGCUAGGAAACCAAAA
Non-coding RNA from Pelobates cultripes (western spadefoot toad), 201 nucleotides. The record is from the annotation of a GenBank genome assembly. Lineage: Eukaryota; Metazoa; Chordata; Amphibia; Anura; Pelobatidae.